CCUACGGGAGGCAGCAGUGAGGAAUAUUGGUCAAUGGCCGGAAGGCUGAACCAGCCAUGCCGCGUGAAGGUCAGUGCCCUAUGGGCGUUAAACUUCUUUUGUGCGGGAGCAAUAAUGGUCACGUGUGGCCAGACGAGAGUACCGUACGAAUAAGCAUCGGCUAACUCCGUGCCAGCAGCCGCGGUAAUACGGGGGAUGCAAGCGUUAUCCGGAUUUAUUGGGUUUAAAGGGUGCGUAGGCUGUGAGGUAAGUCAGCGGUGAAAUGCUCCCGCUCAACGGGGUGAAGUGCAAUUGAUACUGGCAUGCUGGAGUGCGGAUGACGUGGGAGGAAUGUGUGGUGUAGCGGUGAAAUGCAUAGAUAUCACACAGAACACCGAUUGCGAAGGCAUCUCACGAAUCCGCGAUUGACGCUGAUGCACGAAAGCGUGGGUAUCAAACAGGAUUAGAUACCCGAGUAGUC
RNAcentral lists this ribosomal RNA (460 nucleotides) under uncultured bacterium. RNAcentral's name for it is "partial 16S ribosomal RNA". It matches the Rfam family "Bacterial small subunit ribosomal RNA", at positions 338 to 795 of the family's 1533-position model. The record is from RNAcentral.